CCCUUAGAUGUUCUGGGCCGCACGCGCGCUACACUGAUGAAUGCAACGAGCUCUACCCUUGACCGAAAGGCCCGGGUAAACUUGUGAAACUUCAUCGUGAUGGGGAUAGAUUAUUGCAAUUAUUAAUCUUCAACGAGGAAUUCCUAGUAAGCGCGAGUCAUCAGCUCGCGUUGAUUACGUCCCUGCCCUUUGUACACACCGCCCGUCGCUCCUACCGAUUGAAUGGUCCGGUGAAAUCUUCGGAUUGCUGACCAAGAUCCAGCAAUGGAGCUUGGUUGCGAGAAGUUGAUUAAACCUUAUUAUUUAGAGGAAGGAGAGGUCGUAACA
RNAcentral lists this ribosomal RNA (327 nucleotides) under uncultured eukaryote. RNAcentral describes it as "partial 18S ribosomal RNA". It matches the Rfam family "Eukaryotic small subunit ribosomal RNA", at positions 1470 to 1796 of the family's 1831-position model. The record is from RNAcentral.